Molecule: non-coding RNA, 88 nt
Filed under: Bacillus tuaregi
Lineage: Bacteria; Bacillati; Bacillota; Bacilli; Caryophanales; Bacillaceae
Description: TPP riboswitch (THI element)
Rfam family: TPP riboswitch aptamer (THI element)
About the family: Vitamin B(1) in its active form thiamin pyrophosphate (TPP) is an essential coenzyme that is synthesised by coupling of pyrimidine and thiazole moieties in bacteria. The previously detected thiamin-regulatory element, thi box was extended, resulting in a new, highly conserved RNA secondary structure, the THI element, which is widely distributed in eubacteria and also occurs in some archaea. Analysis of operon structures identified a large number of new candidate thiamin-regulated genes, mostly transporters, in various prokaryotic organisms.
Source: RNAcentral
UAACACUAGGGGUGCUUUUGAAGCUGAGAGAGGCAUUGGCCUUAACCCUUGAACCUGCACUAGGUAAUGCUAGCGAAGGAAAGUGGUA